RNAcentral lists this ribosomal RNA (465 nucleotides) under Vreelandella stevensii. RNAcentral's name for it is "partial 16S ribosomal RNA". It matches the Rfam family "Bacterial small subunit ribosomal RNA", at positions 338 to 795 of the family's 1533-position model. Lineage: Bacteria; Pseudomonadati; Pseudomonadota; Gammaproteobacteria; Oceanospirillales; Halomonadaceae. The record is from RNAcentral.
CCUACGGGGGGCUGCAGUGGGGAAUAUUGGACAAUGGGGGCAACCCUGAUCCAGCCAUGCCGCGUGUGUGAAGAAGGCCCUCGGGUUGUAAAGCACUUUCAGUGAGGAAGAACGCCUGGUGGUUAAUACCCAUCAGGAAAGACAUCACUCACAGAAGAAGCACCGGCUAACUCCGUGCCAGCAGCCGCGGUAAUACGGAGGGUGCGAGCGUUAAUCGGAAUUACUGGGCGUAAAGCGCGCGUAGGUGGCUUGAUAAGCCGGUUGUGAAAGCCCCGGGCUCAACCUGGGAACGGCAUCCGGAACUGUCAAGCUAGAGUGCAGGAGAGGAAGGUAGAAUUCCCGGUGUAGCGGUGAAAUGCGUAGAGAUCGGGAGGAAUACCAGUGGCGAAGGCGGCCUUCUGGACUGAAACUGACACUGAGGUGCGAAAGCGUGGGUAGCAAACAGGAUUAGAUACCCUUGUAGUC